RNAcentral lists this ribosomal RNA (253 nucleotides) under uncultured bacterium. RNAcentral describes it as "partial 16S ribosomal RNA". It matches the Rfam family "Bacterial small subunit ribosomal RNA", at positions 524 to 776 of the family's 1533-position model. The record is from RNAcentral.
UACAGAGGUCCCAAGCGUUGUUCGGAUUCAUUGGGCGUAAAGGGUGCGUAGGCGGUUUGGUAAGUCUGAUGUGAAAUCUAUGGGCUCAACUCAUAGUCUGCAUCGGAAACUGCCGGGCUUGAGUGUGGGAGAGGUGAGUGGAAUUCCUGGUGUAGCGGUGAAAUGCGUAGAUAUCAGGAGGAACACCUGUGGCGAAAGCGGCUCACUGGACCAUAACUGACGCUGAUGCACGAAAGCUAGGGGAGCAAACAGG